Non-coding RNA from Podarcis lilfordi (Lilford's wall lizard), 72 nucleotides. Lineage: Eukaryota; Metazoa; Chordata; Lepidosauria; Squamata; Lacertidae. The record is from the annotation of a GenBank genome assembly.
GCGCAUCAUAGCUCAGAGGUAGAACACCUGCUUGGCAUGAAGAAGGUCCUGGUUCAAUCCCCACUGGUGGCA